GAUGAACGCUGGCGGCGUGCCUAAUACAUGCAAGUCGAGCGAACCGACCGGGAGCUUUCUCCUCUGACGUUAUCGCCGGACGGGUGAGUAACACGUGGUUAGCCUAACUCUACGACUGGGGUAACAUCAGGGAACCAUAUCUACUACCGGAUAAUAUAUCGACCCUCAUGGUUCACUAGUUAAAUACGCUUUUUCUUUCACUAAUAGACUACUACGCCGCGCAUUAGCUAGUUGGUAAGGUAACGGCUUAGCAACGCAACGAGGCGUAGACGACCCGAGAGGGUGAUUCGAUACACGGUAACUGAGGCACGGUCCAGACUCCGACGGGAGGCAGCAGUAGAGAAUCUUCCGCAAGGGACCAAAGCCUGACGGAGCAACGCCGCGUGAAUGAUGAAGGUCUUCGGAUGGUAGAACUCUGUUAGUAGGGAAGAUGAAAAGUGUAAGUAACUAUGAACGUCUUGACGGUACCUAAUCAGAAAGCCACGGCUAACUACGUG
Molecule: ribosomal RNA, 497 nt
Filed under: uncultured bacterium
Lineage: Bacteria
Description: partial 16S ribosomal RNA
Rfam family: Bacterial small subunit ribosomal RNA
Source: RNAcentral